Non-coding RNA from Ictidomys tridecemlineatus (thirteen-lined ground squirrel), 1111 nucleotides. NCBI's taxonomy places the organism in Eukaryota, Metazoa, Chordata, Mammalia, Rodentia, Sciuridae. The record is from RefSeq and is a predicted model, not a curated record.
CUAAUGAAUAAUGAACACCAUUAAGGCCUAUUUCAAAUGCCCAUCUGUGUCCACGUGAUCUUAAUGACCGGUCAUCUGCAAGAUGAUGACCAUGGAAGCAGAGAGAAAGAUGACAGCACAUGCACUUGUGACCCAAAGCCACCUAGAGGAACGGGAGCCAGAGUGCUGGAGCACACGUGUUCUCAGGGGCUUGAGGAUCCGGGCUCUCUGGACAUUGCCUGGCUUGGAGCUCACAUCUCAAAUGCAAGUCCUCAGGCUUCAGAGCAGGUGGGAAAUCAUUCUUCUCACUGUAUCUUCAGGAGUUGUGCAGUGAGGGGAAACAUCCCAAGGCUGCAAUGAUGCUUUUGGUAAGAAGUGAAAAUCCAAAGUGGCCUGGGUGUGAAUGUGAGCGUCGGGGGCCGAGGGAACACGGCAGAAUGAAGGUCUGAGUGUGAAAAGACACAGCAACAUGAGGGACAGAACAAAGAGAAGUAGGCACACAACUCUAAGCUAUUCCCCUGUUCUUCCCUUGGAUGCUUUCCUUUUCAACAGAGUUCUUUUAGAAAUGAAAAAUCGACUUUCUAGAUUUCUUAUGGAAAAAAGUAAUUUCUUAUGGUGAAAUCUCAGGUGCUGUGGUAGGAGGUAAAUUGGCAGAGGGGCUCCGGGUGCCUUGCCAUUCGUGCAUAAUUAGGAACCCGGCUGCUCACCCAGGAGAGCCGGCCUACCUUGGAACACGCGCACAACCCAUCGGCUCUGGAGUUCUGCUGUGGGGAUGAGGGCCCCCACGGGCUGCAGGAGGCCAAUGAAAGCCAGCGUUGGCCUCUCCAGCUGAGGAGGGAAGACCAACUUAUACAUGGAAUGCUGGCUGUCCAGGAUUGCUAAGUCAUCCUCCAAGAAGGGGAAAGAGAAGGUGUAUCCUGUGGCAAAGAGGACAGUGUCGACCUUCUCUUCAGUGCCAUCCUCAAAGAGGGCGGACGUCUCGGUGAACUCCUCCACGUUUGGCUUCAUCCGCACUCUUCCCGUGACUAUGUGAUUUGGCAGGUCGUCACUGACAACUGUUUGAUAUGAAAAAAUUCUGCACGACAAGGAAGGAAAUGUAAGGAAGUGAAAAUAAAGUUCCUCCUUCAAGAAA